AUACGGAAGGUCCGGGCGUUAUCCGGAUUUAUUGGGUUUAAAGGGAGCGCAGGCGGAGAUGCAAGCGUGACGUCAAAUUUCGGGGCUCAACCCCGUCUCGCGUCGCGAACUGCGUCCCUUGGUUGCGGGAAGGGGAGGCGGAACUCGUGGUGUAGCGGUGAAAUGCAUAGAUAUCACGAAGAACUCCGAUCGCGAAGGCAGCCUUCCGGCCCGUCAACGACGCUCAUGCUCGAAGGUGCGGGUAUCAAACAGGAUUAGAUACCCUGGUAGUCCGCACAGUAAACGAUGGACACCCGCGGUUUGGCCUGUAUGGCUGAGCCGCCAAGCGAAAGCGUUAAGUGUCCCACCUGGGGAGUACGCCGGUAACGGUGAAACUCAAAGGAAUUGGCGGGG
RNAcentral lists this ribosomal RNA (393 nucleotides) under uncultured bacterium. Its description in RNAcentral is "partial 16S ribosomal RNA". It matches the Rfam family "Bacterial small subunit ribosomal RNA", at positions 523 to 918 of the family's 1533-position model. The record is from RNAcentral.